RNAcentral lists this ribosomal RNA (428 nucleotides) under uncultured bacterium. Its description in RNAcentral is "partial 16S ribosomal RNA". It matches the Rfam family "Bacterial small subunit ribosomal RNA", at positions 354 to 796 of the family's 1533-position model. The record is from RNAcentral.
GUGGGGAAUAUUGGGCAAUGGGCGAAAGCCUGACCCAGCAACGCCGCGUGAAGGAAGAAGGCCCUCGGGUUGUAAACUUCUUUUAUCAGGGACGAAACAAAUGACGGUACCUGAUGAAUAAGCCACGGCUAACUACGUGCCAGCAGCCGCGGUAAUACGUAGGUGGCAAGCGUUAUCCGGAUUUACUGGGUGUAAAGGGCGUGUAGGCGGGCCUGCAAGUCAGGUGUGAAAUUCCAGGGCUCAACCCUGGAACUGCACUUGAAACUGUGGGUCUUGAGUGAUGGAGAGGCAGGCGGAAUUCCGUGUGUAGCGGUGAAAUGCGUAGAUAUACGGAGGAACACCAGUGGCGAAGGCGGCCUGCUGGACAUUAACUGACGCUGAGGCGCGAAAGCGUGGGGAGCAAACAGGAUUAGAAACCCGGGUAGUCC